Molecule: ribosomal RNA, 422 nt
Filed under: uncultured archaeon
Lineage: Archaea
Description: partial 16S ribosomal RNA
Rfam family: Archaeal small subunit ribosomal RNA
Source: RNAcentral
CUACGGGAUGCAGCAGUUAGGAAUAAUCUACAAUGCACGCAAGUGUGAUAGUUUGAGCCAGAGUGUGUUUCUAUUGAAAUGCUUUUAUGGAAUGUAAAAAGUUCCACGAAUAAGGACUGGGUAAGACAGGUGCCAGCCGCCGCGUGUAAUACCUGCGGUCCAAGUCGCAGCCAUUUUUAUUGGGUCUAAAACAUCCGUAGCUUGUUUUGUAAGUUUCCUGUGAAAUCCGGUUUCUUAAGAAUCGGGCGGGCAGGAAGUACUGCAGAACUAGAGACUGGGAGACGUAAGAAGUACGUUUGAAGUAGCGGUAAAAUGUGUUAAUCUCAAACGGACUCACAACAGCGAAGGCAUCUUACGAGAACAGUUCUGACAGUAAGGGAUGAAGGCCAGGGGCGCAAAACGGAUUAGAUACCCGGGUAGUC